UCCCAAAGUAUUAAGCCUAGUUCAGGGCAGUUUCUCUGUUCUGAUUAUUACAAUCUGGGGUACAGAGACAUGAGCCAAGAGAGAGAAUUGGAUAGAAAG
This 99-nucleotide small nucleolar RNA is filed under the name Sorex araneus (European shrew). The record is from RNAcentral. Lineage: Eukaryota; Metazoa; Chordata; Mammalia; Eulipotyphla; Soricidae.